Molecule: ribosomal RNA, 254 nt
Filed under: uncultured bacterium
Lineage: Bacteria
Description: partial 16S ribosomal RNA
Rfam family: Bacterial small subunit ribosomal RNA
Source: RNAcentral
UACGGAGGGAGCUAGCGUUAUUCGGAAUUACUGGGCGUAAAGCGCACGUAGGCGGCUUUGUAAGUAAGAGGUGAAAGCCCGGAGCUCAACUCCGGAACUGCCUUUUAGACUGCAUCGCUUGAAUCCAGGAGAGGUGAGUGGAAUUCCGAGUGUAGAGGUGAAAUUCGUAGAUAUUCGCAAGAACACCAGUGGCGAAGGCGGCUCACUGGCCCGGUACUGACGCUGAGGUGCGAAAGCGUGGGGAGCAAACAGGA